UCCACAAUGCAUUCUUCUUAUUGAACCCAAUUGCAAAUUCCUGUGCAAGCCCGAUUUCGUCGGUGAUUCUUCUACCCUUCACGAAGGUUGUCUGCGGAGGGUCAAUAAUGUUCAGCAGAACCUGAGAAAUGCAAUUUGCCAGAAUUUUUGCAAUUGAUUUAUACACCACUCCUAGACAAUAGAUGGGUUUGUAGUGUUCCAAGUCAAAAUCGAUUAUAAAAAUCUAUAAAAAUAAAUAUUAAAUACAUUUAUUAAUUAAUAUUCAAAAUAUAAAUAAAUUACACUAUUUAUUUUAGUAUUUCUGUUUUUGUUGAAAAAUGAGUAAAAUUACAAACAUAAAAUAAAGUUAAAUUUUUUGGACUUAAUAUAUACUAUUAGAUUCAAUUGAGAAACAAAUCAUUUGUAAAACUAAAAGACCGAAAGCCUCUAUGUUAAAAAAAACAUAUUUACAGAUUAAUUUUUUUUUACUAUUUGAGACUGACUUUUACUUUUAUAACAAACUAAUAUGCAAGGUUAUGAUCUCAGACUUCUUCACUAACCUGAUGGAUCGCCUUUUUACAUAAUCGCAAUCUGAUAACGAUGGUCUGAAGAUCCUAUCUUGAAAUCGUUCCUCAACUCCUCAACCUCAAGUCCUCAAUCGAUAUGAUUUGGAGGAGAUUUAGGGAUUUAGAAUAUAGGAAAUUUAGGGAUAUAAGAUAUAAGGGAUUUAAGAGAUUUAGCAAUUUAUGUGUUAAUUUUUAUUCGAUAAUAUAUGAAAAAAUAUUUUAUAAUUAGAAUAAUUUUCAAAUGAGUCAG
Molecule: long non-coding RNA, 795 nt
Filed under: Zostera marina
Lineage: Eukaryota; Viridiplantae; Streptophyta; Magnoliopsida; Alismatales; Zosteraceae
Description: long non-coding RNA (ZMAR_LNC002449)
Source: RNAcentral